AUCUUGUGAGCAUCUGGGCCAAGUUCAGGGCUGGUGCUCUCGUUCAGAUAGAUUUAGCUGGUGGUGCAGAGAUCCGUGAGCUUGCUUUUACAGGACUUUAAUGAUAUAUAAAAGCAGCACGAGGUGCUCCUGACUGUGGAUUAAUUUGGAGAUGACUUUCUCUGUUGAAGAGUAGCAAGACUCUCGCGAGUUCUUAAAAAUGCACUUGUUUGGUAUGAGAAUGAAAAGCAGUGGCUGAAGAACCAAUCUUCAAUGGGCAAGCCUUCUCUGGGUCUUGCUCCGUCACCGAGUCUGGAGUGCAGUGGUAUGAUUAUGGCUUACUUGAACUUCUGGGCUCAAGCAAUCCUCCCACCUCAGCCUCCAGAAUAGCUGGGACUAUAAGUGUGGAUCAUCAACCCUGGCUAAUUUUUUGAUUUUUUAUAGAGACGAGGUCUCACCAUGUUGCCCAGACAAGUCUUUAACUCCUGGGCUCAAGCAAUCCUCCCACCUCAGCCUCCUAAAGUGCCGGGAUUACAGGCAUGAGCCACUGUGCCUGACUUCCAGAUUUGCAUCUUAAAGGGCUGUUCCAUUGAAUGUCUGUUCUAACACGUGCCAUUUGGGAUCCCUUGGAAUCUUCAUGUACAGAACUGGUUGCUGCCUCGUUGAGUCGGUGGGGACAGAAUAGCUCCUGGUUGACAGCAUGGGUUGUGCAGAAGGACGGAUCCUGCAGACAUCAAUAUCUGGCUUUGAGUGGCACAAAGAAAUAAAGGAAUGUGGAUUCAGACCUCACUGGGAUGCUUGGCAAUUCUAAUUCUACCCCAGACUGCAAAUGGACACACAACUGUUGUGACUUUUGUUGAAGAGGAGAAGGAUGGGUGAGCAUGUGACGUUGGGAAAUUGUAUUUUCUUCUUCGAGUUCUUCUGUUUCCGAAUAUUUAAUCCUACUGUUUUCUUCUUUAGUGAAGGUCUCUUUAGUCAAUAAUCUCUUUGCUGAAAUUGCUUCGGGCAGCACAGAAGCUGGAUUCAGAAGCACACAGGUCUGGGGAUGCAGGCUUCGGCCAGCCUGAUGCAAGGAAAGACUGCCAUCUCGUGGUCAGCUCAAUCCUGGCACCUUGGUGAGGGACCAGGCUGCAGAAAACCAGGCUUGGGGAGGAAACGGUGCUGCAAACUGGAUUUCUGCCGGACAGUGUGGAUGCCCUUAGAAAACACCCAGAAAAGAGCUGAGUGCCCCCCAAGGCUGUUUCCCAUAUAAGGUUCAUGACCCCCAGUGAGGAUGAAACUGCCUGCAAGGUUUGUCUUCUCUCCUGUUCACUGGUUACUCAGCCAGGCUGAUUCAUGGGCUUCUCAAAGGAGCUUGUUUAUCAGAAGCUUGUCUAAGACACCACGUCUUCCAGAAAAUCUCACCUGAGUCACCAACAGAUUCCUCUAAGAGUCUGUAAGCCACUCCUGACCAGCAGGAAACCCCAACAGAGGCAAAGAAUAGGAAAUUAAAUAUUUCGUCAAGAAAAAAUGAGAGGCUGGGUGCGGUGGCUCAUGCCUAUAUCCCAGCACUUUAGGAGGCCUAAGCGGGCGGAUCAUUUGAGGUCAGGAGUUUGAGACCAGCCCGGCCAACAUGGUGAAACCCUGUCUCUACUAAAAAUACAAAAACAAUUAGCUGGGCAUGGUGGUGGGUGCUUGUAAUCCCAGCUACUGGGGGAGGCUGAGGCGGGAGAAUCGCUGAAACCCAGGAGACAGAAGUUGCUGUGAGCCGAGACCACACCACUGCACUCCAGCCUGGGUGAGAGUGAGACUGUCUCAAAAAAAAAAAAAAAAAAAAAAAAAAAGCAAGAAAGCUCCCAUUUAGAUCACUCGGACAAAAGAUUUCUUUUUGUGCCAAAAUGUUCCACUAGGCUUCCAGUUUUUACCACAUAACUUGACAGUCAUGCAAGACUUAAGUGUAUUUUCAGCUAUCCUUUCUCUUUCAUUUAUUUCUGUUUAAUAAGCUCUGUCCAUUGAUUCUAGUUAGUACAUUAUAUAUCUUUUUAAUCACUUACCUGCAGUGAGCAUCUUUCCAUGUUGGUAAAUACCGGUGCUACUACUGUUACUACUGAGUACUUAUUCCAUGUCAAAUCCUCUGCCAAGCAUUUUCAAGCAUUGUCUCAUUGCCUUCUUGCCACAACCCUAUGAAGAGGCCGUGACUGUCCUCAUCCAAUGGAGGAGGAAGCUAAGGCUGAGAGCAAUUAACACAGCUGUGAGUGAACAGGUAGGAUUUAAAGCCAGGCAGUAUGAUUCCGGAGCCUACGCUUUUAAUCACUGUUAUUUUACUCUCCUCCACUCCCCAAAUAUACUGCAUUUUUUUUGUGUGAUUGUAUUGUAUUAUUCUGUUCUAGAUGUACUAUGAUUGAUUUCGUCCAUGCUGUAAUUACACUUCGGUUGGUUUUAGUUUUCACUACUACAAAUGGUGUUGCAACGAACGUCUUUGUGGGCAAAUCUUUACAGGUCAUGAAUGACCCUUUCCUUAGGACACAUAUUGCCAAGCUGAUCUCCACAAAGGUAGUACACGCCCAUCAUAUUGUACAAAAGUAUUCUUUGCCCUCCACCCUUGACACUGGGUUGCAUCUAUUUUUUAAUUAUUGCUGUUAGGAUAGAAGAACAAGGCUGACACAUUGUUGUUUCAGUUUGUAAGCUAGAACACUUCAUUGCACAUUAGCUGUAUUCCUUAGGUGUAUUUCUUGUUCAUGUCCUUUGCCCUCUGAGGUUUGUCUCUUUAUCACAGAUUUGAGAACUUUUUGUAUAUGUCUUAUAUUUUUAGAAUUAAUAAAUUUAGGGCAUAAACCCAAUAGAAAGAAAAACAGACUCAUUCUGUGUUUUGCAUAGCAUCUUACCUCCUAUCCUUCCUCCACAUUGAUAGUAAAGCAUAAGAAAUGAUUCCUGUGCCCAGAGGUUGAAAGCAGGUCCAUUUUAACAAAGUCACUUGGAAGCAUCCCCUUUCUCCAAA
Molecule: long non-coding RNA, 2956 nt
Filed under: Homo sapiens (human)
Lineage: Eukaryota; Metazoa; Chordata; Mammalia; Primates; Hominidae
Description: HSALNT0399977
Source: RNAcentral